AUGACCCGACCAGUCCUCCUCUUCGGACUCUGGAUGCUGGCGAAGCAGUUUGAAUUUUAUGCUUGUGAAAGGGCUCUGUUGAUGAUUUUGAUGUCUGCAGCUUUCCAUCCGUAUGACCAGACACAUUCUCACCAGCUCCAUAUAUCAAGAUGAGGAGGGGAGACCUGGUAGCUUUUCCUUCUGUUAACUGCUGGCAUCAGUAGAGUGAUGCAGACAUUUCUCUAUUAAGAACGGAGCUGAGACUGAAGCUUCAUUUUGUAUGAGACUGUGCAGAGGUCAUCUGAAGUCUCUCCCAGGUGAGGUUAUUAUGAUCCUGGAUUUGAAACUGUGACCUACUGGUUUGCCAGAUGCCAAGAACAAAUGCUCUGAAAUUGAUUUUCCAUAAGACAUGAUGAGCUGCUCUAGCUUGCCUGGGAAGAGUGGAAUAUUUAACCUGUGGGUGAGACUCCUUCUUGCUACCUAUCAGCUUUGCCACUGCUCUGAUCGAGAAACGUCUCGGGAGCAGAGUUGGUAAGAGUGAAUCAGACUAUCUGCUAGCAUAGGACUCGUGGUACCUGCUUGUUCGAUCCCUCAUUUCCAUCCCCUCUAUCCUUUGCCUAUUGUCAGUCAUUGUGGUUGAUCCAUUCAGAAGAAUCGUGAAUAUUCAUAGCCAUCUUAAUUUACUAAUAUAUAUUCACUAAUGUCAGAGAUCUGUACAUGUGAUUCCUGAGCUUAUUACAGUAACAAGUUUCUCCAAUGCUACUGGGCAUAUUCUUCAUGUCUUUCUUUCCAGACUACUGACUCAAUUUAAGAUUACAUCCCUUGCUCCUUUGUGUGUAUUGCAUUUGCCCUGUAAAACUCAUUCCCUUCAUAUUGUAGGACAUCUAAAGACAUGGGGGGCAUUCCAAGAGUAGUCAUAAGAUGUGUCUGAUGCUGUUCUUUUAACGUGAUUCACUCUUCCUUUGAUCUGUGAAACUUCCUAGCAUUCUGUCAUGGCUAUUGGGGUCCUGGGAGAGAAAGUUGGAACCUGCUUAAGUAUUAAUUGGUGUAGGAUGAUUUUUCUCCGCAUCACACUCAGGCUGCUACCUCUGCAGUACAGUGUGCACCACUUCUUGCUGCAUCACUGAGGAAAGAAAUAGUAAAUUAAGUAGGUUUUUAAAUUGCCCAUUGAAUUCACAUCAUUAAAUAAUGCUAUAAGAAAUUCUUAAGCGGAGACAAGUAGGAGAAUUAAAAUGCUAUAAAUUAUGCCUGGGGUGUUAAACUCUUGUUUUGCCCUUUGUUCUGGCCACAAAGCACCCACAGCCAGGGAUGGUUCUGCCCACUGCUUAACAAUAAGUACCUGGGAGGAAGCGUGACCCCUGAGUGCCCCCAAAAGGGGGAUUAUUGUAACAGCAUUUAGCUCAUCUCCAGAAACUGGUGAAAAAUACCUCUGCAUCAUUCAGGUUACACUUGUCCCCAGGGAGCCAUUAAAGUUUCCUUCUUUCCCUCUUACUGCUGCCUGGCAUUUUCCAUUCCCCAGUUCCUUUCCUGUCCAGCAGCAAGGAAGUGGGAAAGGAACAGUGCUCAUCUGGCAUAUAAGGUAAUUCCCUGUAUCAUUCACCCUCAAAUGUCAGGAAAGUUGCAGCUACCCCUGGUCAUUGGUAUUUUUCUCUAUCGUUAUUCUUGAUCGUGCCAUCCUGUCUCUUUGGCUAAUGUUUGUCCAAAUAUUCUCAUUUUCCAACCCGUCUGUAAACGUUAUAAAAACAAGGACAGUUCUGUUUUCAAAGCACUGUACUUCAGUACCUAAAACAGUGCCUGGCCCAUAAAUAGUGCUCUGGUUACCCAAGGCUGUGUGACAAAUACCAUAAUGUAGUAGUUUUAACAACAGCAAUCGUCUUAUUGUCUUGAACAAUUCCUAUGGGUUAGGAACUAGAAAAGGCCUAAUUUUUGACCCAUAGUCUCAGUGGUUCUGCCUCAGGGUCUCUAAUGCAACUGCUAGAGAUAUAACAGGGAUUUUCUGAACAUCUUCUCUGUUGCAUAGUCUCCAGGUCUUUCAGUGUGGUCCCUCUUCAUGUGACUAGUUGAGCUUCCUUACAGCAUGGCCACCUGACAGCAGGAGGACUAUCUACAUGACUGCUGAAGGCUUUGAGACCAAGCAUUUUAGCAGCAAAGUAGAUGCUAUGAAGCCUUUAGUGACCUGGCCUUGGAAGUCACACACCAUAAUUUUCACUGCAAUCUCAAGUUACAAGUGAGUCACAAGCCUACCUAGAUUCAAAGACGGGGGAAUUCGACUUUAGUUCGUGAUGUUCGUGUGGCAGGAUUUUAGAAGCACAUGGGUUACUGGAGAUAUUGUUGUGACCAUCUUUGGAAAAUACAACAAGAGUGCCCAACCUUGUUUGUUUAAAAAGUAAAUAAAUGCCUUCUGAAUGAUUUCUCCAUCUCUCCUACUGCAGAUUUCCUCUGACCUCAGUUUUCAAAUAGCUGUAUUUUCAUUCCAUUACUGGAAACUGCAUUAUAUCCUUUUUUUGAAUGGCCCUUUGUAUUCUACCAAUUCAGCUCUUUUAUAGACUAUCUUCAUAAAAUAUCAGUUCUUGAAAUUUUCUUCAAGCCAUGUGCUUUCUCUCUCUGACUUACCUAUAUUCCUCUGUUGAGCUUAAAUUUCUGUACUUUGUCUUAAGGAUGAGUCUUGAAAAUUCAAU
This is a long non-coding RNA of Macaca mulatta (Rhesus monkey), 2657 nucleotides long. Lineage: Eukaryota; Metazoa; Chordata; Mammalia; Primates; Cercopithecidae. The record is from Ensembl.